RNAcentral lists this transfer RNA (73 nucleotides) under Pteropus alecto (black flying fox). It matches the Rfam family "tRNA". From Rfam's summary of the family: Transfer RNA (tRNA) molecules are approximately 80 nucleotides in length. Their secondary structure includes four short double-helical elements and three loops (D, anti-codon, and T loops). Lineage: Eukaryota; Metazoa; Chordata; Mammalia; Chiroptera; Pteropodidae. The record is from Rfam by way of RNAcentral.
GGUUCCAUAGUGUAGCGGUUAGCACAUCUGCUUUACACACAGAAGGUUCUGUGUUCACACUCCAGUGGAGCCA